GCUGGUGGCGCGGUGCAGGGCUCUUAAGAACGAACGGCUUGGGCGCGGACUGGUAUCCGGGGACUGUGACUUGCAGGGUCCGCCAUGGAGCCAGAGCAGAUGCUGGAGGGACAAACGCAGGUUGCAGAAAAUCCUCACUCUGAGUACGGUCUCACAGACAACGUUGAGAGAAUAGUAGAAAAUGAGAAGAUUAAUGCAGAAAAGUCAUCAAAGCAGAAGGUAGAUCUCCAGUCUUUGCCAACUCGUGCCUACCUGGAUCAGACAGUUGUGCCUAUCUUAUUACAGGGACUUGCUGUGCUUGCAAAGGAAAGAUGAGGAAACAGACUUGGAGAGGUUAAGUGACAUGCUCAAGACAACAGUGCUGACGGGGUUUCACCGUGUUGCCCAGGCUGGUUGCGAACUCCUGAGCUCAGGCAAUCUGUCCGCCUCGGCCUCCCAACGUGCUAGGAUUACAGGCGUGAGCCACCGCGCCCGGCCAAUUUUUUUUUUUUUUUUAAGAGGUGAGGUCUCACUAUGUUGCCCAG
Molecule: small RNA, 524 nt
Filed under: Pan troglodytes (chimpanzee)
Lineage: Eukaryota; Metazoa; Chordata; Mammalia; Primates; Hominidae
Description: processed transcript
Source: RNAcentral